This 61-nucleotide transfer RNA is filed under the name Batracomorphus nigromarginattus. RNAcentral's name for it is "tRNA-Trp". Lineage: Eukaryota; Metazoa; Arthropoda; Insecta; Hemiptera; Cicadellidae. The record is from RNAcentral.
AAGAUUUUAAGUUAUAUAAACUAUUAACCUUCAAAGUUUAAAAUACAUUAAGUAAAUCUUA